Long non-coding RNA from Panthera uncia (snow leopard), 815 nucleotides. RefSeq lists it as uncharacterized. NCBI's taxonomy places the organism in Eukaryota, Metazoa, Chordata, Mammalia, Carnivora, Felidae. The transcript has 2 exons. The record is from RefSeq and is a predicted model, not a curated record.
ACUCACAUAUGUGUUCUCUGUAGCACUAAGUCUUGACACACACUCUGUUGGUGUCCAGAGAGGAAUGUCCAGGGGUACCUAGUGCCAAAUUCUCCACACCCUAUCCUCCCUUCUAAAGGAACUAUAUCAUCUCCCUGGUUCUAGAACCCUUUUUAGCCACAGCAUUCUCAGUCACUCUCACCAGCAUGGUGAAGAUCCAACAUCCCGAGAUCCAAAGUUACUUCUUGAAGACCGACACACUCCCAGCGGACUGAACUAGAACACCUCUGUGCUUUGAUAGAAUUAAAAAUGAAUGAGGAACUUUGGGAUCAAUUCCUGCCCUCUAAGUCACAGUCAUGAGAAGACAGACUCUACAGAGAAAUCCUAGUAACAUUUGACAGGCGUUACACGAGAUCGAUAUUCCACCAUAAAAGUUCCAGAAAGGUCAUUCCAUGAGCUCACUGUCCAAGUAGCCUCCCCUAUGUCAGUGACACAUUUCAUCCUCUUAAUCCACAAAACCCUGAAACACUCCACCUUUCCAAAGGAAACAAGAUAUUUGAUUUAAAGGAAGUUUACUCACAUACUCCUAAGACAGAUGCCCUUGGUGAGUUUCAGAAAACUGAGCCCAAAGAGCUAAGGUGCCUAUGAGGACCAGCCUCUGAGCUCCGGCGACAACAGCCAAUGAAGCCCCCAGCCAGACAGCAGUGGUGCCCACCGGAGGGACAGAAGCAUGAGUGACAACAACCUGUUCCACCACAGACACCACCUUCCUGGAAUCUCAAAAAGACAGAGACAGUAAAAACAAACAAAAUAAAACAGUGCCUCUAUUGCCUUAA